Molecule: non-coding RNA, 828 nt
Organism: Nephila pilipes (giant wood spider)
Lineage: Eukaryota; Metazoa; Arthropoda; Arachnida; Araneae; Nephilidae
Source: the annotation of a GenBank genome assembly
UGACAACUCUGAGCAGUGGAUCACUCGGCUCACGGGUCGAUGAAGAACGCAGCUUGUUGCGAUAAUUGGUGUGAAUUGCAGGACACAUUGAACACCGAGCUUUCGAACGCGCAUGGCGGCCUCCUGUCUUCCCGGACUGGAGGUCUCGCCUUUUUGAGGGUCUUAUCUUACCUAUGCCUUAUAUUUGGGUCCAUUGGCCAAGUCGGGUGUCUACCCGUCGGCUCAAGUGUGAAAGGAAUUCUUCCGAGCCGUCUGACUCGUCUGGUAUGGCUGGUGUCCGGGGGAGCCUUUCCCAUGAAGGGCCACUCUCGGGUUCGUCCGACUGCUCCCUUGAGACGUCAUUAAGAAUCGGGAGGAGGUACCUUAAGAACUUUGAAAUUUUUUGGUAACGACCUGAGACAGACUAGACUACCCGCUGAAUUUAAGCAUAUUAAUAAGCGGAAGGAAAGAAAACAACUGUGAUUCCCCUAGUAGCGGCGAGCGAACAGAGAUCAGCCCAGCGCCGAAUGCCUACCUCGUGCAGGGAAAUGUGGCGUUUGGGCGAGUCGGCUGGGCGGGCCUAGUGUGAGCGGGAAGUCCCCACGAUCGGGGCAUCUUCCUUAGAGGGUGUGAGGCCCGUUUUCGCUCAUCGUGGUUCUCCCUCGACUCGCCCGCGUGUCAGGUUGCUUGGAAGUGCAGCCCUAAGACAGCUAGUAAACUCCACCCAAAGCUAAAUAAGACCUUAGACCAAUAGCAAACAAAUACCGUGAGGGAAAGUUGAAAAGAACUUUGAAGAGAGAUUUUAAUAAAACGUGAAACUGUUCAGAGAGAUACGGGUGGGCCCUCGAA